Long non-coding RNA from Elgaria multicarinata webbii, 305 nucleotides. RefSeq lists it as uncharacterized. NCBI's taxonomy places the organism in Eukaryota, Metazoa, Chordata, Lepidosauria, Squamata, Anguidae. The record is from RefSeq and is a predicted model, not a curated record. The transcript is spliced from 3 exons.
CCCGGCUGCUCGGAGUUGGUCCUGCGGGUGGCAGGUGAGGACAGAACCAGGUAGCAGUGGCAGCAGCGCAAGCCACGGAAGCAGGCACAGAGGGAUUUCACCAAGCGAAGCAGGCAGCCUCUGAAACGGGAAGCAGCAGCAGCAGAUGACGGGAACGAUGGAUAUCCGGGACAGCCAGGAACGUGAAGAGGACCUGAAGGAACACGCAGAACGGCUCUUUUCAAGGCACCAGCAGGUGUUUGUCAAGAAUGGAGUUCCUAACCCAGGAUCUUCGCUCCCGUUCAGCUUUGAGCUGCAAUCUUUAA